Molecule: unclassified non-coding RNA, 415 nt
Filed under: uncultured Ascomycota
Lineage: Eukaryota; Fungi; Ascomycota
Description: sequence contains ITS2
Source: RNAcentral
AACUUUUGGCAAUGGAUCUCUUGGCGUGCCUGCGUCGGGUCGAGGCCCGCGGCAAGCUGGGGACCGCGCAUCGGGCGCUCCAGGUCUGCGGAAGGGUUUUUCGAUAUGCGGUGGCGACCGGCCGCGCCGAGCACGAUCCGUCCGGUGAUCUGCGAGGGGCACUGCCGCCGAAACAAGAGAAGCAUCACGCGUCCUUCACCGAUCCGACCAGCCUCGCAGGAUUGCUGCGUGCGAUCGACUCGUACGACGGAUCGAACGUGGUGCGUCAAGCGCUGCGCCUGGCGCCGAUGGUAUUUGUCCGGCCGGGCGAGCUGCGCGCCGCCGAGUGGAAGGAGUUCAACCUCGCUACCGGCGAGUGGCGUAUCGGCGCCGAGCGGAUGAAAAUGCGCGUCAAGCAUAUCAAUAAGCGGAGGCU